UCAAGCACGCGAGGCUGGCGAUGGUGGCGGCGUUUGGAUUCGCUGUGCAAGCGGCAGCCACGGGCAAGGGGCCACUCGACAAUUGGGUCACUCACUUGAGCGAUCCCCUUCACACCACCAUCAUCGACACCUUCUCCAAGUAGAAAUCUUUCAAUAAAGAGUGAGAAAGAAGACUGGUAUAGCUCGCUCUUCCUUUGGCUAAUCGAAUCGACCAAGACCAAUCAA
RNAcentral lists this long non-coding RNA (225 nucleotides) under Selaginella moellendorffii. RNAcentral describes it as "long non-coding RNA (SMOE_LNC000927)". The record is from RNAcentral. Lineage: Eukaryota; Viridiplantae; Streptophyta; Lycopodiopsida; Selaginellales; Selaginellaceae.